GACGAACGCUGGCGGCGUGCUUAACACAUGCAAGUCGAACGGUAAGGCCCUUCGGGGUACACGAGUGGCGAACGGGUGAGUAACACGUGGGUGAUCUGCCCUGCACUUCGGGAUAAGCCUGGGACACUGGGUCUAAUACCGGAUAGGACCACUGCCUGCAGGGGUGGUGGUGGAAAGCUUUUGCGGUGUGGGAUGGGCCCGCGGCCUAGCAGCUUGUUGGUGGGGUGAUGGCCUACCAAGGCGACGACGGGUAGCCGGCCUGAGAGGGUGACCGGCCACACUGGGACUGAGAUACGGCCCAGACUCCUACGGGAGGCAGCAGUGGGGAAUAUUGCACAAUGGGCGCAAGCCUGAUGCAGCGACGCCGCGUGAGGGAUGACGGCCUUCGGGUUGUAAACCUCUUUCAGCACCGACGAAGCGCAAGUGACGGUAGGUGCAGAAGAAGGACCGGCCAACUACGUGCCAGCAGCCGCCGUAA
This 478-nucleotide ribosomal RNA is filed under the name uncultured bacterium. RNAcentral's name for it is "partial 16S ribosomal RNA". It matches the Rfam family "Bacterial small subunit ribosomal RNA", at positions 28 to 523 of the family's 1533-position model. The record is from RNAcentral.